This 490-nucleotide ribosomal RNA is filed under the name uncultured bacterium. RNAcentral's name for it is "bacterial SSU rRNA". It matches the Rfam family "Bacterial small subunit ribosomal RNA", at positions 29 to 510 of the family's 1533-position model. The record is from RNAcentral.
AUUGAACGCUGGCGGCAUGCUUUACACAUGCAAGUCGAACGGUAACAGGCCUUCGGGUGCUGACGAGUGGCGAACGGGUGAGUAAUGCAUCGGAACAUACCCAGUCGUGGGGGAUAACGUAGCGAAAGUUACGCUAAUACCGCAUACGUCCUGAGGGAGAAAGCGGGGGAUCGCAAGACCUCGCGCGAUUGGAGUGGCCGAUGUCAGAUUAGCUAGUUGGUGGGGCAAAGGCCCACCAAGGCGACGAUCUGUAGCGGGUCUGAGAGGAUGAUCCGCCACACUGGGACUGAGACACGGCCCAGACUCCUACGGGAGGCAGCAGUGGGGAAUUUUGGACAAUGGGGGAAACCCUGAUCCAGCCAUGCCGCGUGCGGGAAGAAGGCCUCGGUUGUAACGACGUUCUAGCCGGAAGAAAUACGCACGGACGUAAUACUACUGUGUGGAUGACGGUACCGGAACGGAAGAAAGCGACCGGCGUAACUACGUAGCC